Molecule: ribosomal RNA, 253 nt
Filed under: uncultured bacterium
Lineage: Bacteria
Description: partial 16S ribosomal RNA
Rfam family: Bacterial small subunit ribosomal RNA
Source: RNAcentral
CACGUAGGGUGCGAGCGUUGUCCGGAAUUAUUGGGCGUAAAGAGCUUGUAGGCGGUUUGUCGCGUCUGCCGUGAAAUUUCGAGGCUCAACCUCGAACUUGCGGUGGGUACGGGCAGACUAGAGUGUGGUAGGGGAGACUGGAAUUCCUGGUGUAGCGGUGAAAUGCGCAGAUAUCAGGAGGAACACCGAUGGCGAAGGCAGAUCUCUGGGCCGUAACUGACGCUGAGGAGCGAAAGCAUGGGGAGCGAACAGG